This 520-nucleotide ribosomal RNA is filed under the name uncultured Acaulospora. RNAcentral describes it as "SSU rRNA". It matches the Rfam family "Eukaryotic small subunit ribosomal RNA", at positions 569 to 1088 of the family's 1831-position model. The record is from RNAcentral. Lineage: Eukaryota; Fungi; Glomeromycota; Glomeromycetes; Diversisporales; Acaulosporaceae.
AGCAGCCGCGGUAAUUCCAGCUCCAAUAGCGUAUAUUAAAGUUGUUGCAGUUAAAAAGCUCGUAGUUGAAUUUCGGGAUUUGUCAGUUGGUCGGGCUUCACUGUCCGUAUUGACUUGAUGGAUUCUUACCUUCUGAAUAACCAGCAUGCUAUUAAGUUAGUGCGUUGGGGAAGCAGAUCUAUUACCUUGAAAAAAUUAGAGUGCUUAAAGCGAGCUAGUGCUUGAAUAGAUUAGCAUGGAAUAAUAAAAUAGGACGGCAUGGUUCUAUUUUGUUGGUUUCUAGGAUCACCGUAAUGAUUAAUAGGGAUAGUUGGGGGCAUUAGUAUUCAAUUGUCAGAGGUGAAAUUCUUGGAUUUAUUGAAGACUAACUUCUGCGAAAGCAUUUGCCAAGGAUGUUUUCAUUAAUCAAGAAUGAAAGUUAGGGGAUCGAAGACGAUCAGAUACCGUCGUAGUCUUAACCAUAAACUAUGCCGACUAGGAAUCGGACGAUGUUAAUUUUAUAAUGACUCGUUCGGCACCU